Long non-coding RNA from Notothenia coriiceps (black rockcod), 3331 nucleotides. RefSeq lists it as uncharacterized. The record is from RefSeq and is a predicted model, not a curated record. NCBI's taxonomy places the organism in Eukaryota, Metazoa, Chordata, Actinopteri, Perciformes, Nototheniidae. The transcript has 3 exons.
ACUCAUCAUGUGUGUGUUUCUCAGUGUGUGGGAGCCACUGUUUGUAUGCCAGGUACAGUAUGUUUGCAAGUUUACUGAGUUUAUUUGUUCAGGUGUUUGUUGUGCUGCUCGCCAUGGUGUUUCCUGUUUGUAUUUGGGUUGCAAUGCGUCUAUUGUGCCAAGAAGGGUUUUCGCUGUUUCUAAGUGUCUUUCCUGCAUUUAAAGCACUGUGUUAUUGUCUUGGUGCUCACGUCUUUGUGUAGGCGAACCCAGACUAUUGUGCUGCCACUGGCCGCAGUGCUGGCACCGCUGCUGAUAUAGAGCUUAUUGAAAGUGAUUGUUGUUGCACAGAUGAGAGUUCAUCUCAAUAGGGGUCUGCGGCAAAGCAUUCAGACAUAGAGAGGGUCCUUUACCUGCCUCCACCAGACGCAUGUGAGAGAUAAGGUCACCUCAGGACCCCCUCCACCUUCACAGCGCCCUCAUCCUCCUCAGCCCACGAAACCUCGCCCCUCUAGUAAAACAAACCAAACAAUGGAGGCAGAUAUGUGAAGGAUUAGAGGUCAGAGGGUUGGGGAAUGCAACACCAACAUUUCCAGGAUCAAUCUUCAACCGUUCGGUAAUCUCUGGCCCCGGGCCCCACAUACCUCCAGUGGUCUCUGGCUGAGAGCUGGCAAUGCCAGGCGGAGUGAGCUGGUGCUCCUACUGAGUGUGGGGUGCUGAUAGAGAAUGGGGGGUGGGGUUAUAACCUGGUGGUGUGGAUGGAUGGAAAAGCAGAGGGAUGAGUAACAAAGGGUCCCCGCUUUAUAUCCCUACCUCGACUAAAUCCUCACAGAUAGAUGCGUGGGUGUUUUUGCCUAUGUAUGAGACGGACACAAUGUUAACGUGUGUCUGUGUACAUUGUGUGCAUGUGUUGGUAAAGUUUGUUUUUAAUCUCUAAAUGUGAAAUAACUGAGUUCUUCAGAGCAAACUGAAUAUUAUCCCCAAGUUGCCGUUGUUAUCUUGUGUACACACAUUUGUUUAUUUGAUACAGCCCCUCUCUACUACAGCACUUCUGUAUAUCAAAGACAGCAGUGCAGAGCGCAAUUGAAAAUGGCUACCGUGGAGAAAGGUCUCUCUCUGCCUUUGACUGCGAAGAGGCAGAAAAAGCCCCAUUCUCAGCUCCCUUCUUAGAUCUAUUUAAAUAAUUGAGGAGUAAACUGACAAAUUAGGCACCUUUAUGGACGCCCCUGGGCUCUCUCUGGGGUCCUUCAGUUUCCCCAAUAGAGAGCGCCACCAGCAACAGGAUAAUAUCUCUGCGUGCUUUGAGAGGGGGAGAAGGAGGGUAGUGGGCCAGGAGGGGUUUCGCCAAUCAAGCGGGCCACACUUCCUCCCCCAGGUUCUAAUUUUGUGCCACAUUAAAGAGCUCGGCCUCCAUUUAGGACACAGAGAGGCAUUUUCAUAAUUUGCCGGGUCUCUUGACUAGCUCGGGGUGCCUUUUUUCCUCUCUCUCCUCCCUCACUUUCUCACUCCGUGUCUGAAUGGAAGGCCUGGGGAGGAAGAGGGGUAAUUCAUUCGCCUCCUUUCAACCAACCCGCUUCAGUUCUGCAUAAUGUUGCUGCUAGGUGUGUAUUGUAGCAUAUAUUUAUCUCUUUAAUAGUUCUCUAUUAGACCUGAAUAUUAUUUGCCGUAUAAAAGCUAACACUGCUUAUUGUCAGCUGCACAAAAAUGGUGCCAUUCACAUUUUUGUUGAUACAUCUGGGCUGAAUCAUAUGCCUGUAUUUAAAUUAAGAGACGAGUUAAAGAGUGUAUCUAAUCUGCAGCCACACAGCUGUGAUGCUUGCAUUGAUAAAACCUGUGGUGUCUCAAAUGUACAGUACAUCCUCUAGGUUAUGGUGGUGUCAUUUCUUCCUGCUGACACCAUCCAUUCAUGCAGUACAGUAUGCGUAAGCAUUGAUUCAUGUGUGAUUGGUCACAUAAUUCAGUCUCAGGGGGCAUUUCAUCGCUGACAGACAAGCUAAUCUAAAAUCCCCCAAUUUACAAAUGGAAAAUCCCACCAUCCAAUUGAGCUAAUAGAGGGACUUGAAUGGGAUAAUAAGAUGUGGUGUAAUACUGUGUAAAAAGCCUGUAAUGUUGUGUUGGUGUAAGAGCCUGUGUGACUGGAUGUUUGACUGUUUGCAGUGAUUACAGGGGCCUGCGGGCCUGGCGGCGGCUCCGUGGCUGGGUCGGGGAGCUUCUCCCUGGGUAAGGAGAUACGCCUGUCUGCCCCUUCUGCUGGAGCUACAGGGACCGGGAUGUCAGGAGGGAGAGUGCACCCUUGCCUGUUUGUAUUUGUGAGCUGCUGCCUAAGCCUGUACGUUUCUACUGGACAUCAAAACCCUUCUCCCAACAUUGACAUAUGCCUAGAAAGAUGAGAGAAGGUUUGUGGAAUAUGAAGCUCUCGUAAACUAAUCUGGCAUAAUGCCCUGCAGUUUAUGUGAUGAUGUUUUGUGGAGGCUUGUUUUCCUGUGACAGGGGUCUGUGUGUUUGUGCGCUGAGGAGGUCAGAGUGUUGAGGAGUCAGCAGGGGGGCGGUGAUCAACAGACUGGGGGCUCCCCUGCUGAGGGGCUCCGGGAUUAGGGUUAAACCCUGCCCUGCCAGAUGGGCAAAACACAUCCCCAUCAUCGCACACCAGCACCUUCUUCUGUGGAAGCCAGGCGACUGGAACCAUGGUGAUACUCACUGGGCCACACAGAAUGGCGGCAGGAGAGACGACUCAGAUGAGGUACUCUUCAAAGUGUCAGCUCGUGGACAGUUUGGCCAGUCAGCAUGUUCAAGGGUAUCUGAAAUGAAAAGUACAGGUUGUUUUGAUGUGCUCUAUUUCAGAGCCACAGGCAACACUGAAAUGAUAAAGUGUGUGCAGGUAUAUGUGUGUGAGGGUAGAUUGGUGGCUCAGGAAUCAGCAGAGUGUUGAUUGCUUCUUGCCUGACUUUUAUCACACUCAGCUGCAACUAAAUAGUCUCCAUUUGAGUUUAUGAAUCCCUACAUUCCUGUAUUAAUGUCUUGUGUUAUUCCAUGCACUGCAAGAUAUUCAUUUUGUUCAAUCACUCUUUGUUUUUACCACUGGGUCAUAGUCUGGGAUUUAAUGGUUACACGAAGGACUGAUCGUCACCGUGGUAGCAUUUGCCAUAUACUGUCAAAUGUGCUACAAAUGUUGUAAUAAACACUUAAAAUAUGUGUUUAAAAGCCAUGUUACCAUCCAAGAGAGGCUGUGCUGCUUCUUAUACGUAAAAAAAAAAAAUGGCCAAAAAAAGAAUCCUGGCAGGCCUUUUUAAAAAAUAAAAUCUUUGCGUGUUAAAAUUCAGUCGUAUGAAGCUUCAACAUGCUGUAAGUCUUU